AGAGCAGAUAUAAUUUAUUCGGGGAAUACUUUUGGAUAACUGCGGUAAUUCUGGAGCUAAUACAUGCAUCAAAACCCCAACUUCGGAAGGGGUGCAGUUAUUAGAACAAAUCAAUCGUCCUUGGACGUGGUUUGUUGACUCUGAAUAACGCAGCAUAUCGGCGGCUAGUCCGCCGAUAUCUCGAGAAAGUGUCUGCCCUAUCAACCUGAUGGUAGUCUAUUAGUCUACCAUGGUUAUCACGGGUAACGGAGAAUAAGGGUUCGACUCCGGAGAGGGAGCCUUAGAAACGGCUACCACAUCCAAGGAAGGCAGCAGGCGCGUAACUUAUCCACUCCUAAUUGGUGAGAUAGUGACUAAAAAUAAAAAGACCAUUCCUAUGGAACGGUUAUUUCAAUGAGUAGAUCUUAAAUCUAUCUUCGAGUAUCUAGUGGAGGGCAAGUCUGGUGCCAGCAGCCGCGGUAAUUCCAGCAAA
RNAcentral lists this ribosomal RNA (472 nucleotides) under Heterorhabditis bacteriophora. RNAcentral describes it as "SSU rRNA". It matches the Rfam family "Eukaryotic small subunit ribosomal RNA", at positions 103 to 596 of the family's 1831-position model. The record is from RNAcentral. Lineage: Eukaryota; Metazoa; Nematoda; Chromadorea; Rhabditida; Heterorhabditidae.